This 232-nucleotide unclassified non-coding RNA is filed under the name Hevea brasiliensis (rubber tree). Lineage: Eukaryota; Viridiplantae; Streptophyta; Magnoliopsida; Malpighiales; Euphorbiaceae. The record is from RNAcentral.
GGGGAAGGGUAGCAAAACUGAUCUUCAACUUGGAUUCCGGAAACCAGCUGUUAUUAUGAUAGUUGGUGUUAACGGAGGUGGAAAGACAACAUCUCUUGGAAAGCUGGCUUUUAGAUUGAAAAACGAAGGGGCCAAAAUAUUAAUGGCAGCUGGUGAUACAUUUAGAGCAGCUGCUAGUGAUCAGUUGGAAAUCUGGGCAGAUAGAACCGGAUGUGAGAUUGUUGUUGCUGAA